ACGCUCGACACCUACGGGGGGCAGCAGUGGGGAAUAUUGCACAAUGGGGGAAACCCUGAUGCAGCGACGCCGCGUGAGCGAAGAAGUAUUUCGGUAUGUAAAGCUCUAUCAGCAGGGAAGAAAAUGACGGUACCUGACUAAGAAGCCCCGGCUAACUACGUGCCGCAGCCGCGGUAAUCUGAGCGGCGUGGCAAGGC
This 197-nucleotide ribosomal RNA is filed under the name uncultured bacterium. Its description in RNAcentral is "partial 16S ribosomal RNA". It matches the Rfam family "Bacterial small subunit ribosomal RNA", at positions 328 to 538 of the family's 1533-position model. The record is from RNAcentral.